RNAcentral lists this ribosomal RNA (254 nucleotides) under uncultured bacterium. RNAcentral describes it as "partial 16S ribosomal RNA". It matches the Rfam family "Bacterial small subunit ribosomal RNA", at positions 524 to 777 of the family's 1533-position model. The record is from RNAcentral.
UACGUAGGGGGCAAGCGUUGUCCGGAUUUAUUGGGCGUAAAGAGCGUGUAGGCGGCCUGGUAGGUCAGCUGUGAAAACUCGAGGCUCAACCUCGAGACGCCGGUUGAAACCAUCAGGCUAGAGUCCGGAAGAGGAGAGUGGAAUUCCCGGUGUAGCGGUGAAAUGCGCAGAUAUCGGGAAGAACACCCGUGGCUAAGGCGGCUCUCUAGUACGGUACUGACGCUGAGACGCGAAAGCGUGGGGAGCGAACGAGG